ACUGAGAUACGGCCCAGACUCCUACGGGAGGCAGCAGUAGGGAAUUUUGCGCAAUGGACGAAAGUCUGACGCAGCAACGCCGCGUGAGGGAUGACGGUCUUCGGGUUGUAAACCUCUGUUGGAUGGGAAAAAAUGGUAGCAAUACUUUGAUGGUACCAUUCGAGUAAGCACCGGCUAACUACGUGCCAGCAGCCGCGGUAAUACGUAGGGUGCAAGCGUUGUUCGGAAUCACUGGGCGUAAAGGGAGUGUAGGCGGGAUCGUAAGUUAGAAGUUUAAUACACGGGCUUAACCCGUGGCCUGCUUUUAAUACUGCGGUUCUUGAGUAUGGGAGAGGGCGAUGGAAUUCCAGGUGUAGCGGUGGAAUGCGUAGAUAUCUGGAAGAACACCAGUAGCGAAGGCGGUCGCCUGGCCCAAUACUGACGCUGAUGCUCGAAAGCUAGGGGAGCAAACAGGAUUAGAUACCCUGGUAGUCCUAGCCGUAAACGAUGAACACUAGUUGCCGGGGGAGUCAAUCUUUUCGGUGACGAAGCUAACGCAUUAAGUGUUCCGCCUGGGAAGUACGCCCGCAAGGGUGAAACUCAAAGGAAUUGACGGGGGCCCGCACAAGCGGUGGAGCAUGUGCUUUAAUUCGAUGCAACGCGAAGAACCUUACCUGGACUUGACAUGGGGGUGAAAGGUUUCAGAGAUGGAAUCCCUUCCGCAAGGAACACCCUACACAGGUGCUGCAUGGUUGUCGUCAGCUCGUGUCGUGAGAUGUUGGGUUAAGUCCCGCAACGAGCGCAACCCUCGUCCUUAGUUGCUAACAGGUUACGCUGAGAACUCUAAGGAGACUGCCUGGUUUAACCAGGAGGAAGGUGGGGAUGACGUCAAAUCCUCAUGGCCCUUACGUCCAGGGCUAGACACGUGCUACAAUGGCCGGUACAACGGGCAGCAAGUCGGUGACGACAAGCUAAUCCCUUAAAACCGGUCUCAGUUCGGAUUGAAGUCUGCAAUUCGACUUCAUGAAGCUGGAAUCGCUAGUAAUCGCGGAUCAGCAUGCUGCGGUGAAUACGUUCCCGGGCCUUGUACACACCGCCCGUCAAGCCAUGAAAGAUGGCAGUACCCGAAGUCGCUUCUCUAACCCGCAAGGGAAGAGUGCGCCGAAGGUAAGGCUGUUGAUUGGGGCUAAGUCGAAACAAGGUAGCUGUAUCGGAAGGUGCGGCUG
Molecule: ribosomal RNA, 1205 nt
Filed under: metagenome
Description: bacterial SSU rRNA
Rfam family: Bacterial small subunit ribosomal RNA
Source: RNAcentral